Rosa rugosa (rugosa rose) is the source of this 1873-nucleotide long non-coding RNA. RefSeq lists it as uncharacterized. The transcript is spliced from 3 exons. The record is from RefSeq and is a predicted model, not a curated record. Lineage: Eukaryota; Viridiplantae; Streptophyta; Magnoliopsida; Rosales; Rosaceae.
GAGCCCUCGCCGGAUUCUGCAAAAUUCUGCAAAUUUUCCGACCACCGAAGCUUUCGAUCGGUAUAUCUCGAGCUACAGACCAUAUUUUUCUGUGAUUCUUGAACCAAUGCGUUCGUCUUGAGUUUCUUAACAACUCUCUAGAAGGAAUCGAAGCCUGAAAUUGAAGUUUUGACGUCGAAAUCAAGCCUUGCCGGAUUCUGCAAAUUUCGCCGGAUUCUGGAAAUUUUCCGGCCACCUCGACUGUUCUAGGUUAUUGACGGUUUGAGUUGGUGGACGAUUGUGGAUCGUAUUUUGAGCUGAAUUGAAGACGCAGCGGGAUUAUCGAGCGGGAAAUCCUACAGGUCAGGAGAACCAGGACGGUGAUCGGGCUGCUUAGAGUAGUGUUAUGUGAAUUACAGCAUUAUAUUGUGAGGUUUGUUAUGCUCAUUUAGAGCUUUGCAAUUUUACUUUGUAAGAGUGAAUUGUAAUAAUUAACUCGAGGUUUUCGAGUUUUUGUGUUGAGUGGCGAGUGGUAUGUUUGUUUGUGAGAAAAAAAUUCAGAACGUUAUUUGUAUUAAUUGUUUAUUCAUGUUUCGGAUUUGAAUUGGUUAUUCAAAAUUCGGGGCGUGACAGUUUGGUAUCAGAGCGUAAGGUACAUAUUUGGUGACGUGUCAAUACCUUCCGAGUGAUGGCCCGUCUGCAGCGGAUCCCCAUCGUGCGCUCUUCGGUAUUGGCUAAGUCAUUGGGUAUGUGUGAGUGUUGGAAGUUGUUUAGGCCGCUAAGUCGUUUUAGGAACGUUAACACCUUCCCUGUAGUAUUGACUUGGUUAAUAUGGACUUGUAUUUGACUUAUACUGUGUUUUAAGUGUUAUACGUGUAUUAGCCAAGCAUACUAUAUUUCUUAGGUGUUGAAUAUUCGAAGGAGUAGUACUUAGAACUACAGAGUUGUCUUGUAGGUUCGUAUUUGAAUAAGUUCAGUUACCGCGAGUUAUAAUCUUUAAGGGAUGGAAACCUUCGGAUUUAACUCUAUUGAGUUAGGGUGAUUGUUUUAUGGAAGUGAGGUUCUUUUGGAUGUUGAGGUGUUUGGUUGAAGGCAUGAUGUUGGCCUAUGCACGUACCUAGUGUGGAUACGAGUAUGAAUUGAUGGAAUUUUUGCCUUAUUAGGUUGGAUAUACAGAUGUUUUUGAUUUGAUUCUUGACUCAUGUGGAGUGGUGGGUAGUAUUGCGGUUUGGGAAUGAAUUAUUGUGGUUAAUUCUUCCAUGUGUUUGUAAGUUGAUGAGCAGGGUUUAAGUUGUGAGAAAGGAGUUUGAUCUCGUGUUUGAGUGAUUGAGACGAACGACUAUAUAUUUGAGGUUGUUUUGUGUUUUAAGUUUAUGUAGACGGGACACUUAAAGUUUUGAAAUAGAGUUUGAUUUUUAGUUGAUAGAUAAUGGGGAGAAUUAGAAUCAACUCUUUGUUAAUGAUCUUGGACGAGAGUGUGUUUCUAUGGUUAUGGAUUUUAGGUGAAAUGGUUAAAUACAAUUUUGGGUAUUGAUGAUAGUGACAUGAUUGGGUAUCCAUAGUGGUUCAAGUGAAUUACUAUGCGGUAUGGAGUUGAUUCGACGUAUGAAUCGUGAAAUCUUAGGGUUGAAUUAUGGUAAGUUUGAUGGAGCAUGUUUUAGAGGGAAUGGUUGAGAUUUUAUAAGACUAGCACGAGUAACUCUAAGGAUGUGAGUUUUCCUAGUUAACUCAGGAAGUGUUUAGCUUUAUUAAUCCCUAAUUCUAGCGACGAAAUUAUUGUGUUUGGUUUGACUCAGAGGAUACUAGCUUGACCUCUGUGCAACUUAAUUGAUUGUUUGUGAUAAAUCAUUAUGAAAGAUGUGUGCAGUAGAGUUGUUUAUGGUUUUGAAAACAG